AUCUAAUACUUAAUUUUUACCCCCCUCUAAUCUUUCUUCCCCUUUUUCAUAGAAUUUAGCUGCUGAAAAGACUUACAAUAACUGGAUAUCUCACUGAAAAAAGCCAACGAGCAUCGAACAGAAUGGUUUGAAGGUGUUCAAAAGUGUACCCUAGACGAAACUUUACUUUCAAUAAUGGAAAAAAUAGUUAGAGCAGAGGUUCAUAGAUUGGUGGUUGUAGAUGAAGAAGACAAGGUCAUUGGAAUAUUAUCUUUGUCAGACUUGCUCUUAUUCUUAGUCCUAAGGCCAUGUGGUAAGUAGUUUAUUUUUCUCAGUAUUCAUACUUACUUUCAUAAUCAACUAUUCAUUAAGGAUGCAGCAGCCCUACCUACAGCUAUAAUCAUUUGUGGUUAAGAACUCCUAAUCGUUUAAAUUGCAAUGAAAGAUAGAGUUGAUAAGCUCAUAUUUUCUUUGAUUUUAACAGUUAAAAGAAUGCCCAAGUGACCUGGUGCGUUGCUUUUAAAAGUUUUGGGUACUUUUUCUAAAAUAAAUUGGUAGUAAAUCAAAUUGUCAAUCAAGCAAAUACUAUAGUUAAACUCAGCAAGAUAUUGUAUUUAAUUUAAAAAAUGUAUGAGUAAAAAAAAAAGGUUUUCAUUGAAACCGUGACUCUUCACUAAUAUACCUCUGGCAGUCAAUUUGGUCAUCAUUUUCAACUGAUUUUCAUGCCGUUUCGCUCAUCAUUUACUCAGCUCUAACCUCCCAUUUAAAUUAAAAUCAAAACCCCCAUCAAUAACAGUUUGUGUUUCUUGAUGCCCUAUUAUUUUCCAUUCAAUCCAAAUUUAAGUUAAUUUUUUGGUUUACUGACAUGUUAAGCAUAUAUUUUCUUAUUAAAAAUUCACUCUUUUCUCCCCGCUUGUGGUAUCAGGAAGAUCCUCUACUUAAAAAAAAAGCUUUAAAGGGGGAAUAAAAUCCUAGUCAUUUCUUCUUACUAAAUGUGCAUUUUUCCAAUAGUGAACUCAAGAAACAUGUAUUUUAACAUGUAUGUA
Molecule: long non-coding RNA, 1025 nt
Filed under: Bemisia tabaci
Lineage: Eukaryota; Metazoa; Arthropoda; Insecta; Hemiptera; Aleyrodidae
Description: lncRNA ENSSWEETPG012020
Source: RNAcentral